CUGCUGCAGCCACCACUUCCUCCUACUAUGGAAGGGACAGGAGCCCACUGCGUCGUGCUGCAGCCAUGCUCCCCACAGUUGGAGAGGGCUACGGUUAUGGGCCAGAGAGUGAGUUAUCUCAGGCUUCCACCGCUACACGGAAUUCUCUGUAUGACAUGGCCCGGUAUGAACGGGAGCAGUAUGUGGACCGAGCCCGGUACUCAGCCUUUUAAAAACUGGAGGUGUGAACCUCAAAUGGACUGAAUAACCCUGAGUUGGUUGCAGUCCCAGGAGCCUGAUGUUAAUGAGGCUGCCAGGAUGAAAUACUCCAGAACUGUUGGGGAUCCAAAUUCGGGUCUCACCCUAGCAGAACUGAUCCAAGAACGUCACAACUUUUGAAGUCGAUUGGCACAGAUCAAGACCAAGAUUUGGCCCUUUGUCUGUAAUAAGUAGAGGAACUUGGUGUGAGUUAAGUUUUUUUUUCCCCCAGCCAUUGGUGUCUGGAGUUCCCAUCAUCAAUAGAAGGAUUAGAGAAUUCUAGGAAUGAUUUCUUUUGAUUUGGCAAGGGAGAUUUGGUCAAUUAGGGGAACUACUGGAACUGUGGCUCUCUGUGACAGUGUGACAUGUAGGUGUGUUGGAAUUGGGUGAAUGACUGGCUACUCCUUGAUAUCCUACCCCUUGUGACCAUCAUUUCUGAAAGCUUGUUUACUGUGAAAGAUUAAAACAAAACACAUUUAGAAUAGUGCAAUUCGCCAUAUAUGACAUCUCAGCAUCUUCUGCUUUUCCUGGACUCCAAAAUUAAAUUGCAGUUCUUGAAAAUGUAUGU
Molecule: small RNA, 805 nt
Filed under: Pan troglodytes (chimpanzee)
Lineage: Eukaryota; Metazoa; Chordata; Mammalia; Primates; Hominidae
Description: processed transcript
Source: RNAcentral